RNAcentral lists this ribosomal RNA (515 nucleotides) under fungal sp. R21. Its description in RNAcentral is "eukaryotic LSU rRNA". The stretch from base 176 to 329 matches the Rfam family "5.8S ribosomal RNA". The record is from RNAcentral. Lineage: Eukaryota; Fungi.
AAGGAUCAUUACAGAGUUCAUGCCCCUCAGGGUAGAUCUCCCACCCUUGUGUAUCAUUAUAGAAUGUUGCUUUGGCGGGCCGCGCCUCGUGCGCCUAGAUUCGCGUCUAGCGUGCCCGCCGGAGGACCCCUAAACUCUGAAUGUUAGUGUCGUCUGAGUACUAUGAAAUAGUUAAAACUUUCAACAACGGAUCUCUUGGUUCUGGCAUCGAUGAAGAACGCAGCGAAAUGCGAUAAGUAAUGUGAAUUGCAGAAUUCAGUGAAUCAUCGAAUCUUUGAACGCACAUUGCGCCCCUUGGUAUUCCGGGGGGCAUGCCUGUUCGAGCGUCAUUUAUACCAAUCUAGCCUGGCUAGGUGUUGGGCUCCGCCGCCGGGCGGGCCUUAAAACUAGUGGCGGUGCUCUCAGGCUCUACGCGUAGUAAUCUUCUCGCUAUAGGGUCCUGGGAGAUGCUGGCCAGCAACCCCAAAUUUUUCUAGGUUGACCUCGGAUCAGGUAGGGAUACCCGCUGAACUUAA